GUGCUCGCUUCGGCAGCACAUGUUCUCAAAUUGGAACAAUACAGAGAAGAUUAGCAUAGCCUCUGCACAAGAAUGACAUGCAACUUUAUGAAGCGUUCCAUAUUAAA
Molecule: small nuclear RNA, 107 nt
Organism: Octodon degus (degu)
Lineage: Eukaryota; Metazoa; Chordata; Mammalia; Rodentia; Octodontidae
Source: Ensembl